GCUCAGUUAGUUAAGUGUCUGACUCUUGAUCUCAACUCAGGUCUUGAUACCAGGGUUGUGAGUUCAAGCCCCACACUGGGCU
This 82-nucleotide transfer RNA is filed under the name Ailuropoda melanoleuca (giant panda). It matches the Rfam family "tRNA". From Rfam's summary of the family: Transfer RNA (tRNA) molecules are approximately 80 nucleotides in length. Their secondary structure includes four short double-helical elements and three loops (D, anti-codon, and T loops). The record is from Rfam by way of RNAcentral. Lineage: Eukaryota; Metazoa; Chordata; Mammalia; Carnivora; Ursidae.